GCUCUCAUGGUCUAGUGGUUAAGACAGUUGAUUGCAAAUCAAUUGGUCCCUGGUUCGAAUCCGGGUGAGAGCU
This 73-nucleotide transfer RNA is filed under the name Candida albicans SC5314. RNAcentral describes it as "Candida albicans tRNA tC(GCA)2". It matches the Rfam family "tRNA". Rfam says of the family: Transfer RNA (tRNA) molecules are approximately 80 nucleotides in length. Their secondary structure includes four short double-helical elements and three loops (D, anti-codon, and T loops). Lineage: Eukaryota; Fungi; Ascomycota; Pichiomycetes; Serinales; Debaryomycetaceae. RNAcentral also lists the same sequence under 13 other names. The record is from RNAcentral.